AGCAAGUCUUUCUUUAAGGGGGGUGGAUUUCCCUGUUAGUCCCAUGGUUAUGAGAACCUCAGGCAUAGAUGUGAUAUUGGGUUUGGAUUGGAUGAAGAAAUAUGCUACGGAAAUUAAGUGCAAAGAAAAAGUAGUAGUUGUGACAACACCCAAGGGAGAGAGAAUCAGUGUGGAUGUAGCAGUGCAGGCUCCACCCACAGCUACAGUGAAUCAGCUGGAUGAUGGUGUUGAUCUUCAGGACUGUGUAGGGAAUAAAUUUUCAAAUGAGUUACCAGGUAUGUUACUCGACUAGAGACAUGAAAUUGCUAGUGCAAUGGGAUUGGUUUUCACGAGGAGAAACAACUUGGGGAAGAGAAGAGGAUUGGAGAGAAUCAAAUCCACAAGUGGUUUGUUUACACACUGCUCAAUCUCGAGGACGAGAUUCUUUUAAGGGGGGUAGAGUUUGCAACACCCAAAAAUUUAUUUUCAAUCAAUAGGAUUUAAUUUGAAUUAUUUAAGAAUUUUAGUGAGCAUUUAAUGUAGCAAAUAAACAUUUUUUUUGUGGAAAUUUAAAAUUUAUCAUAAGCUUAGUAACAUGAUUUUGUGCAUUCAUGCUGAGACAUAUUUUUUUUUGUGGUGAUUGUAUUUGGUUUAUAUUUAAUUGUCCUCAAAAUCCUUUCUAAAAAAAAACUUUGAAAAAAAAAUAAAACAAAACAGAAAAGAAAUUGGAAAUAGGAAAAAAAAAAAGAAGCCUCCCAGGCCGCAGCCCGAGCAUCCCCUUCCCCUCGCCUCGGCCCAGCGCGGCCCAGGAAGCCCGCGCGCUGAUCCCCUCCUUUCUGUGACUGGCAGCCUGGCCCCGCAGCGCAGUGUCCUGUUCAUCUUCCGAGCGUCACCGAGCAGACACCAACCGGAAGCCAAACCGAAUCGCUGGAAGUCGGGAUUUCUUCCCAAAAUCGUUUCCUCGGCGCCCUAUAAAGCUCCCUAGCACCGCAGCGAACCCCUUUUGCAUCUAAAACGCGAAGCCAAGCCUUAGCCACCUAAAACCGAGCGGUUUCGGAUCUCGCCGAAAGCCAACUCCAUCUCCGUACGCCGCGAGCCGUCUUCGUCAUCUCUCGGACCCAACCAAGCGCUUAGACGAGAUCGUGGUGAGCUCCUCUUCAUCCCGGUGUUUUCCUUUCGCGAAACGGUGCUCGGAAUCGAGAAGUCCGUCGUCGCCGGCGAGCUCCGAAACGGCCGGCAAUGGAGCCACCGCACCGGAGCUGGUGACGGCCGGUUGAAAAAAAAAAUACUUUUUCUGCUAUUUACAAGAUUGCCACUGAUUUUGUUUUGCUCAUAAAAUAUUCGUUUUAACUCCGUUUUUAUCCAUUCAAAUUGCGU
This 1356-nucleotide long non-coding RNA is filed under the name Sorghum bicolor (sorghum). Its description in RNAcentral is "long non-coding RNA (SBIC_LNC004930)". Lineage: Eukaryota; Viridiplantae; Streptophyta; Magnoliopsida; Poales; Poaceae. The record is from RNAcentral.